AGCCUGAACGCUGGCGGCGUGGCUAAGACAUGCAAGUCGUACGGAUGUAGCAAUACAUCAGUGGCGAACGGGAGAGUAAUGAAUCGCUAAUGUGCCCCGGACUCUGGGAUAGCUAGCCGAAAGGUUAGGUAAUACCAGAUGAUAUAACCCUACCGCAUGGCAGGGUUCUCAAAGGUCCGCCGGUCUGGGAGCAGGCGAUUUCGUAUCAGCUAGUUGGUGAGGUAACGGCUCACCAAGGCGACGACGCGUAGCCGGACUGAGAGGUUGGCCGGCCUCAUUGGGACUGAGACACUGCCCAGACUCCUACGGGGGGCUGCAGUAACGAAUCUUCCGCAAUGCACGAAAGUGUGACGGAGCGACGCCGCGUGUGGGACGAAGCCCUUCGGGGUGUAAACCACUGUCAGGGGAUAGAAAGUUCUGAUCAUCCCCAGAGGAAGGCACGGCUAACUCUGUGCCAGCAGCCGCGGU
Molecule: ribosomal RNA, 468 nt
Filed under: uncultured bacterium
Lineage: Bacteria
Description: SSU rRNA
Rfam family: Bacterial small subunit ribosomal RNA
Source: RNAcentral